Molecule: long non-coding RNA, 1535 nt
Filed under: Mus caroli (Ryukyu mouse)
Lineage: Eukaryota; Metazoa; Chordata; Mammalia; Rodentia; Muridae
Description: lncRNA (MGP_CAROLIEiJ_G0004879.1)
Source: RNAcentral
GGUGGGAGUACUGUCCCCAGUGGGGUUCAGUGCUGUCCCUCCAGGUUCACUACCACCCCUUUUGGCUCAGCACUGGGGUUUGAACCUGGGGCCUCGUGCAUGGAAGGAAGGCAUCAAUCACUCUGCCGCUGAGCUGUGUUUCUACAGGGUCUUGGUAAGUUAGCCACGUUGGGUUAAAACCGAGUUGGGAGCUCAGGCAGGCCUUGAGUUUCCAAUCCCCCUGCCUCCGCUUUCUGAGUAGAUAGGAUUACAGACCUGGGGCCACAGGGCUUGAUUCCCCACCCCCUCAUUUCUGGAAAUCACUAAGAAAAAACGGUAAACAGUUUAAUUUUUAACUCAGAGUAGCUAGCUGCCUGGUUGUUGCUGACAGGAAGUCACUCUCAGGCAGUGCAUACACCCUGUGUUGUCCCAGCCAAAGAGAAAGCAGGGCCUGUACUGGACACCUCAAAUGCCUCCAUCUGCAGAGACAGAACCCAGGUAGUCCCUAGGAAGUUCUGCUCAGCUGUUAGUAAACCACAGACUUCAGGAGGGAAGGCUCUGCACUUGUCUGUGGGUAUCCUGUUGCUGUGUCUUUGGUUGAAAAUCAAUGAAGUCUCCAGGCAGAAGUGGUGCAUGUCUUUACUAGCACUUGGGAGGCAGAGGUAGGAGGACUUAAGAGUUCAAGGCCAAGUAUGGCAGUAGUGGGUGCACACCUUUAAUCCCAAGAGAGAGAGAGAGAGAGAGAGAGAGAAAGAGGAAAGGAGGAGGAACAAUAAUUUUUUAUGUUCCUCACUUUAGAUUUUGCUACUUAUUCACUCACUUAUUCCUGUGGAUGUCUAUAACCUGAAAGACCCUCCUCUUCCCAUUUUGCUCAAUAGCCCCUUGCUCACUUCUCCGUGAAAAGUAUUAAACCAUAAUUUAUUCUCUAAGACACAAAGCAAGAGGCGUCUUCUUUCAUGGGGGACACUAUGCUCCUCCCCCAAAGCUCCGACCCGUCUCUUCACUCUGCAGCCACUCUGCCAAUUGGUCCCUACAGCUUUCCAUCCUUACCGCGGUCUUCUUUGUAAAGCCCUCUUCCCCACUGUACACAUGCUUUGAGGGGUAAACUGAGUCUCACUCACCACUGUCUUCUGAGAAGCUAGUAUCAGACUUUGUGUGAUGCCAGAUAACAGUUUACUGAACACAUUCAAAACGGAAUGAGCUAUGAAAUGACUGGAGCAGAGGUAGGAAGCGGCCAUCCGCUAGAGUGGAGGUGGCGUAAAGUCCCACCUAGUCUCUGAGAACAGCCACUCAAGGACUUCAGGAAACCAGUGCCCCACCCCCACCCCUAAAUGAGGCAGCAUAUGCCUAAUGUGUUUGUGCUGAACCAAAGUACUUGUUUCACAUGCCCCCUUCCCUCCCCCGACUCUCCAGAUGUUGAGCUCAGCUGGCAGGCUUCAUCUACAAACAAGCUGUCUUCACUGGAGGCCACACUGUUAUUCCCCAAGGGAAGUUCCGCUGGGGAGAUGUCCACACUUGCCAGACCUUCUGCCUUGCAGGACUAAGUUGAGAAGCCU